This 1380-nucleotide ribosomal RNA is filed under the name uncultured bacterium. Its description in RNAcentral is "partial 16S ribosomal RNA". It matches the Rfam family "Bacterial small subunit ribosomal RNA". The record is from RNAcentral.
AGAGUUUGAUCCUGGCUCAGGAUGAACGCUGGCGGCGUGCCUAAUACAUGCAAGUCGAACGAAUCUUCUUCGUAAGAUGAGUGGCGAACGGGUGAGUAAUACAUAGGUAACCUGCCCCUGUGCGGGGGAUAACAGGAGGAAACUCCUGCUAAUACCGCAUAGCCAUGAGCACCGCAUGGAGCUCAUGCCAAAUAUCCUUUACGGGAUAGCGCAGGGAUGGACCUAUGGCACAUUAGCUAGUUGGCGGGGCAUCGGCCCACCAAGGCAACCAUGCGUAGCCGGCCUGAGAGGGCGGACGGCCACAUUGGGACUGAUGACACGGCCCAGACUCCUACGGGAGACAGCAGUUAGGAAUAUUCGUCAAUGGGGGAAACCCUGAACGAGCAAUGCCGCGUGAAUGAAGAAGGCCCUAUGGGUUGUAAAAUUCUGUUGUUUGGAAAGAAAUGUAAGACUAGGAAAUGAGUCUUACUUGACGGUACCAUUCAAGAAAGCCACGGCUAACUACGUGCCAGCAGCCGCGGUAAUACGUAGGUGGCGAGCGUUAUCCGGAUUUAUUGGGCGUAAAGGGUGCGUAGGCGGUAUGUUAAGUAUAAAAUAAAAGCCCGAAGCUUAACUUCGGUUCGUUUUAUAAAUUGGCAAAGUAGAGUACAGUAGAGGCAAAUGGAAUUCCUAGUGUAGUGGUAAAAUGCGUAGAUAUUAGGAGGAACACCAGUGGCGAUGUCGAUUUGCUGGGCUGUAACUGACGUUGAGGCACGAAAGCGUGGGGAGCAAAUAGGAUUAGAUACCCUAGUAGUACACGGCGUAAACGAGGAGUACUAAGUGUCGGGAAACCGGUGCUGAAGUUAACACAUUAAGUAUUCCGCGUGAGGUAGCACGGUCGCAAGGCUGAAACUCAAAGGAAUUGACGGGCACCCGCACAAGCGGUGGAGCAUGUUGUUUAAUUCGAAAUACGCCGAAGAACCUUACCUAGAUUUGACAUCCUCGGCGAAGCUAUAGAAAUAUAGUGGAGGCUAUCCGAGUGACAGGUGGUGCAUGGUUGUCGUCAGCUUGUGUCGUGAGAUGUUUGGUUAAGUCCAAUAACGAGCGCAACCCUUGCUAUUAGUUGCUACGCAAGAGCACUUUAAUAGGACUGCCGUUGACAAAACGGAGGAAGGUGGGGGCGACGUCAAAUCAUCAUGCCCCUUAUGACCUGGGCUACACACGUACUACAAUGGCCAUCAACAGAGGGAAGCAAAACCGCGAGGCAGAGCAAACCCCUAAAAAUGGUCCCAGUUCGGAUUGUAGGCUGCAACCCGCCUACAUGAAGUUGGAAUUGCUAGUAAUCGCGGAUCAGCAUGCCGCGGUGAAUACGUUCCCGGGCCUUGUACACACCGCCCGUCA